This 172-nucleotide ribosomal RNA is filed under the name Escherichia coli. RNAcentral describes it as "partial 23S ribosomal RNA". It matches the Rfam family "Bacterial large subunit ribosomal RNA", at positions 1 to 173 of the family's 2925-position model. The record is from RNAcentral. Lineage: Bacteria; Pseudomonadati; Pseudomonadota; Gammaproteobacteria; Enterobacterales; Enterobacteriaceae.
GGUUAAGUGACUAAGCGUACACGGUGGAUGCCCUGGCAGUCAGAGGCGAUGAAGGACGUGCUAAUCUGCGAUAAGCGUCGGUAAGGUGAUAUGAACCGUUAUAACCGGCGAUUUCCGAAUGGGGAAACCCAGUGUGUUUCGACACACUAUCAUUAACUGAAUCCAUAGGUUA